UACGGAGGGGGCUAGCGUUGUUCGGAAUUACUGGGCGUAAAGCGCGCGUAGGCGGCUUUGUAAGUUAGAGGUGAAAGCCCGGAGCUCAACUUCGGAAUUGCCUUUAAGACUGCAUCGCUAGAAUCAUGGAGAGGUUAGUGGAAUUCCGAGUGUAGAGGUGAAAUUCGUAGAUAUUCGGAGGAACACCAGUGGCGAAGGCGGCUCACUGGCUCGACACUGACGCUGAGGUGCGAAAGCGUGGGGAGCAAACCGG
RNAcentral lists this ribosomal RNA (253 nucleotides) under uncultured bacterium. Its description in RNAcentral is "partial 16S ribosomal RNA". It matches the Rfam family "Bacterial small subunit ribosomal RNA", at positions 524 to 776 of the family's 1533-position model. The record is from RNAcentral.